This 813-nucleotide ribosomal RNA is filed under the name Triticum aestivum (bread wheat). RNAcentral describes it as "partial small subunit ribosomal RNA". Lineage: Eukaryota; Viridiplantae; Streptophyta; Magnoliopsida; Poales; Poaceae. The record is from RNAcentral.
AUGGGCGGCGGCGACCUGUACGCCCUCGACUUCGACGGCGUCUUCUGCGACAGCUGCGGGGAGAGCUCCCUCUCCGCCGUCAAGGCCGCCAAGGUGAGGUGGCCGUGGGUGUUUGAGCAGGUCGACGCCGCCUUGGAGGAGUGGAUUGUGGAGCAGAUGCACACCCUUCGUCCAGUGAUAGAAACAGGAUAUGAGAACCUGUUGCUUGUAAGGUUGCUUGUUGAGAUCAAGAUACCCUCUGUUCGAAAAUCAUCAGUUGCAGAUGGCCUUAGCAUCCAAGAUAUAUUGGAGAACUGGUCAAAACUGUUGCCCACUCUCAUGGAUGAGUGGCAAGAAGAUAGGGAAUCUCUUGUAGAUCUCUUUGGCCGUGUAAGGGAUGACUGGCUUGAAAAUGAUUUGUCUGGCUGGAUAGGUGCUAACAGGUUUUAUCCUGGGACGGCUGAUGCUUUAAAGCUUUCAAGCUCUGAACUUUACAUAGUCACAACAAAACAGAGUAGAUUUACUGGAGCGCUACUCAAAGAAUUGGCUGGAGUAGAUUUUCCCUCUGAAAGGAUAUAUGGCCUUGGCACUGGUCCAAAGGUAAAAGUUCUCCAGCAGUUGCAGGAAAUGCCACAGCACCAAGGUCUAACACUUCAUUUCAUCGAGGACCGACUAGCGACUCUGAAGAACGUGAUGAAAGAACCAGCGCUGGACAAAUGGAACCUCUACCUGGUGAAAUGGGGAUACAACACACAGAAAGAGAGGGAAGAAGCAGGGGACAUACCAAGGAUCCAACUCAUUGAUCUCCCAGAUUUCAGUAAGCAGCUGAAAUAA